GACGAACGCUGGCGGCGUGCCUAAUACAUGCAAGUAGAACGCACAGUUUAUACCGUAGCUUGCUCCACCAUAGACUGUGAGUUGCGAACGGGUGAGUAACGCGUAGGUAACCUGCCUGGUAGCGGGGGAUAACUAUUGGAAACGAUAGCUAAUACCGCAUAAUAUUAAUUAUUGCAUGAUAAUUGAUUGAAAGAUGCAACUGCAUCACUACCAGAUGGACCUGCGUUGUAUUAGCUAGUAGGUGAGGUAACGGCUCACCUAGGCGACGAUACAUAGCCGGCCUGAGAGGGUGAGCGGCCACACUGGGACUUAGACACGGCCCAGACUCCUACGGGAGGCAGCAGUAGGGAAUCUUCGGCAAUGGACGAAAGUCUGACCGAGCAACGCCGCGUGAGCGAAGAAGGUUUUCGGAUCGUAAAGCUCUGUUGUAAGAGAAGAACGGGUGUGAGAGUGGAAAGUUCACACUGUGACGGUAUCUUACCAGAAAGGGACGGCUAACUACGUG
Molecule: ribosomal RNA, 505 nt
Filed under: uncultured bacterium
Lineage: Bacteria
Description: partial 16S ribosomal RNA
Rfam family: Bacterial small subunit ribosomal RNA
Source: RNAcentral